Ceratitis capitata (Mediterranean fruit fly) is the source of this 433-nucleotide long non-coding RNA. RefSeq lists it as uncharacterized. The transcript is spliced from 2 exons. Lineage: Eukaryota; Metazoa; Arthropoda; Insecta; Diptera; Tephritidae. The record is from RefSeq and is a predicted model, not a curated record.
GAGCAGUGCGAACAAGAAUAAAACAAAACAACAAAAUUGUAGGAGUUGUGUGCAGAAAAUUUAAUACAAAUAAACAUCAAAGAACAACGAAAACUUGCAGAAAAAGGCCAAAAAAGUGAAUUAAAAAUUCAUUAAAGUAAUAAAUAAAAAAUAAGCCAUAAAACUUCUAAAGCCGUCGGAAGUGUAGCAACAAAUUUGGAGUCAUCAAGCAAUAAAAAAAAUUUAAAAAAGCAAAUUAAUUGCAAAAACCAUAUAAUUCGAGCAGAUAAACAAACAUACGUACAUGCAUACAUACUAAAUUCGUUACAUAUAUUUUUUGUUGGCUCACUUUCCGCUUGCAACAUUAAUUUUGUUGCGAAUUUACCAAGGCUUUACAAGCGCUUAGCUUGCCACCAAUCAGCCGCAACAAGCAAGAAAAGCAAAAAAAAAAAGA